This 968-nucleotide ribosomal RNA is filed under the name uncultured euryarchaeote. Its description in RNAcentral is "partial 16S ribosomal RNA". It matches the Rfam family "Archaeal small subunit ribosomal RNA", at positions 341 to 1310 of the family's 1478-position model. The record is from RNAcentral. Lineage: Archaea; Methanobacteriati; Methanobacteriota.
AUGGGAACUAUCUCGAUAGAGAUGAUGAGAGGUCGAACUGCUGCUUCGUAUAGGAUCUGUCUCUUUGUCUAAACACAGAGAGGGUAAGGGGUGGGAAAGACGGGCGCCAGCCGCCGCGGUAAUACCUGCAGCUCAAGUGGUGGCCGCUAUUAUUGGGCCUAAAACGUUCGUAGCCGGUUUAGUAAAUGCUUGGGUAAAUUGUGUCGCUUAACGAUACGAAUACCGGGUAGACUGCUAAACUUGGGACCGGGAGAGGUUAGAGGUACUCCUGGGGUAGAGGUGAAAUUCUGUAAUCCUGGGGGGACCACCAGUGGCGAAGGCGUCUAACCAGAACGGGUCUGACGGUGAGGGACGAAGCCCUGGGGCGCAAACCGGAUUAGAUACCCGGGUAGUCCAGGGGGUAAACGCUGCUCGCUUGAUGUUAGUUGGGCUCGGAGCCCACUUAGGGUCGGAGAGAAGUUGUUAAGCGAGCUGCCUGGGAGUAACGUCGGAAGGCUUGAACCUUAAAGGAAUUGGGGGGGGAGCCGGCACCGGUGGGAGCGGGCGUUUUAUUUGAUUCACCGCCGGAAACUCACGGGGGCAACGUUUCCUGAAAGCCAGGCUGAUGACCUGGCGAAUUUCGGAAAUGGGUCAUGGCCGUCGUCAUUCGUACGUGAGCGUCUGUAAGUCAGAAACGACGAAACCCUAUCUUUAGUGCACUGGUAGUCCGCUUAUAGCACAUAAAGAACCGCUGGCGUAGUAGAGAAGCAGGCAACGGUAGGUCAGUUCCCCGAUCCCCGGGCUACCGGCGCUACAAGGCUAGGAAAUGGGUUCUACCCGAAGGUGACGUAUCCCGAACCUAGUCGAGUCCGAUUGAGAUGCACUAUCUCAUGAGCUGAUCCGAGAUCCAUCAAUCUGCGGAAUGCCUGCUGCAACAGGGAUCCUAACUCGACUGCCUAGAGUACGCUGGCACCGCACGCGUUUCAGAA